AACGAACGCUGGCGGCAUGCCUAACACAUGCAAGUCGAACGAGACCUUCGGGUCUAGUGGCGCACGGGUGCGUAACGCGUGGGAACCUGCCCUUAGGUUCGGAAUAACUCAGAGAAAUUUGAGCUAAUACCGGAUAAUGUCUUCGGACCAAAGAUUUAUCGCCUUUGGAUGGGCCCGCGUAGGAUUAGCUUGUUGGUGGG
This 200-nucleotide ribosomal RNA is filed under the name uncultured bacterium. Its description in RNAcentral is "partial 16S ribosomal RNA". It matches the Rfam family "Bacterial small subunit ribosomal RNA", at positions 29 to 256 of the family's 1533-position model. The record is from RNAcentral.